AGAAUAUAAGAAUCCGACUCUUAACUUUUAACUGAAAAAGUUAAGAGUCGGCUCUUAAAUCUCUUAUUUAAGAGCCGAUUCUUAGCAUUUUCAGUUAAAAAUUAAGAAUUGAAUUCUUAUAUUCU
Brassica oleracea var. oleracea is the source of this 125-nucleotide microRNA precursor. It matches the Rfam family "MIR9563 microRNA precursor family". NCBI's taxonomy places the organism in Eukaryota, Viridiplantae, Streptophyta, Magnoliopsida, Brassicales, Brassicaceae. The record is from Rfam.